CUGGGAGGACCAUCUCCUAAGGCUAAAUACUCUCUAGUGACCGAUAGUGAACCAGUACCGUGAGGGAAAGGUGAAAAGCACCCCGGAAGGGGAGUGAAAUAGAACCUGAAACCGUGUGCUUACAAGUAGUCAGAGCCCGUUAAUGGGUGAUGGCGUGCCUUUUGUAGAAUGAACCGGCGAGUUACGAUUUGAUGCAAGGUUAAGCAGUAAAUGUGGAGCCGUAGCGAAAGCGAGUCUGAAUAGGGCGUUUAGUAUUUGGUCGUAGACCCGAAACCAGGUGAUCUACCCUUGGUCAGGUUGAAGUUCAGGUAACACUGAAUGGAGGACCGAACCGACUUACGUUGAAAAGUGAGCGGAUGAACUGAGGGUAGCGGAGAAAUUCCAAUCGAACCUGGAGAUAGCUGGUUCUCUCCGAAAUAGCUUUAGGGCUAGCCUCAAGUGAUGAUUAUUGGAGGUAGAGCACUGUUUGGACGAGGGGCCCCUCUCGGGUUACCGAAUUCAGACAAACUCCGAAUGCCAAUUAAUUUAACUUGGGAGUCAGAACAUGGGUGAUAAGGUCCGUGUUCGAAAGGGAAACAGCCCAGACCACCAGCUAAGGUCCCAAAAUAUAUGUUAAGUGGAAAAGGAUGUGGCGUUGCCCAGACAACUAGGAUGUUGGCUUAGAAGCAGCCAUCAUUUAAAGAGUGCGUAAUAGCUCACUAGUCGAGUGACACUGCGCCGAAAAUGUACCGGGGCUAAACAUAUUACCGAAGCUGUGGAUUGUCCUUUGGACAAUGGUAGGAGAGCGUUCUAAGGGCGUUGAAGCAUGAUCGUAAGGACAUGUGGAGCGCUUAGAAGUGAGAAUGCCGGUGUGAG
RNAcentral lists this ribosomal RNA (855 nucleotides) under Staphylococcus aureus. RNAcentral's name for it is "partial 23S ribosomal RNA". It matches the Rfam family "Bacterial large subunit ribosomal RNA", at positions 444 to 1306 of the family's 2925-position model. The record is from RNAcentral. Lineage: Bacteria; Bacillati; Bacillota; Bacilli; Caryophanales; Staphylococcaceae.